This 439-nucleotide ribosomal RNA is filed under the name uncultured bacterium. Its description in RNAcentral is "bacterial SSU rRNA". It matches the Rfam family "Bacterial small subunit ribosomal RNA", at positions 338 to 795 of the family's 1533-position model. The record is from RNAcentral.
CCUACGGGUGGCACCAGUGGGGAAUAUUGGACAGUGGGCGAAAGCCUGAUCCAGCAAUGCCGCGUGUGUGAAGAAGGUCUUCGGAUUGUAAAGCACUUUCGACGGGGACGAUGAUGGCGGUACCGUAGAAGAAGCCCCGGCUAACUUCGUGCCAGCAGCCGCGGUAAUACGAAGGGGGCUAGCGUUGCUCGGAAUGACUGGGCGUAAAGGGCGCGUAGGCGGUUUAUGCAGUCAGAUGUGUAAUCCCCGGGCUUAACCUGGGAACUGCAUUUGAGGCGCAUAGACUAGAGGCCGAGAGAGGGUUGUGGAAUUCCCAGUGUAGAGGUGAAAUUCGUAGAUAUUGGGAAGAACACCGGUGGCGAAGGUGGCAACCUGGCUCGAUACUGACGCUGAGGCGCGAAAGCGUGGGGAGCAAACAGGAUUAGAUACCCCUGUAGUC